CCUGGCGUUUUGUCGAGAACCUGACAGGCGAGGGCAACUGUCUGCACGAUGUCACCGUAAACACGGAGGGGAUCUCGCCUUUGCUUGGCAGAUAACCCAGUUAACGGUAUAGCUAACGUUACCGAGGCUAAAACUCGAAGCAACAGUGUUCACUCAGUUUGCCAUCAGCGCCAACGAUAACAUUAGUUGGACUAUCGGCGUGAACAACCACCGAGCUAAUCGGCUAAAAGUUGUAAAACGUGCCUCCCGUGAACGGCGAAGGUUGAGAAACGUCCCUACUGUAUUUUCACCGAAUUGUCCGAUAAUGUCUUCGUUAGAACCAGUUUACUGACUGCUGCUGUGGGGGAGCGGUUCUCGUCGGCUGUCAUCAGGUACCGUCCCUCUUCUUCUUCUACCUCUAAUGAGCGACAACGUGCAGCAACGCCCCCUGUCAUUUCUAACUACUAUCAUAUAUUAUAAUAUUUCUUUUAUUGAAACUUUAUCUUUGAAUGAAAAAACGUGAAGUUAUUUGUGUUAAAAAUACAAGUGGGGGAGAGGUGUACGCGUGACUGAUAUGACAGCAAGCGCCACCAAGACAGAAAUAAAGAGAGACAUUAAGAGUAGUAUAAUGGAAAGCUACGCAGAGAGUGUUGUGCCUCACUACCCAGUCCAGUAGAUGGCGGUAAUACGCAAGUGCUAUUGAAAUCCAAAGAAGAAGAGACAGAACGGAAGCGCCUUACGUUCACGUGCACGCUCUACUAGGAAUUGUUUUAAGGCUUGCGCGCGCUGUUCCCAGUAGUUCGAGAAGCUAGUGAUAUUUCGAUAAAGCAAAAACUAGCGAAAAUGUCGAGCACCAGACUCGGAGCGUUUCGGAGUUUUUUAACGGAGAAAUUCAUGAACUUGGCUGUGGAGUUAUUUGAAGAAGUGGAAACUAUUGUGGAGACGUACUACGAGGAAAACAAGCGUCAGAGGACCAUACUACAGAUGGCUCUGAAUCCACAGAUACAGUUAUCAAAGAUAGAUAUUGGUCAACACACUGGAGCCACACCUAAUGUCAAAAAGCAGCCACCACAGCUGAACACAUUGGUGCAACCAACAAGAGCAGAACCACUUCCAAAAAAACAUAAAGAGGAACAAAUUGAAAGUGACAAAAACUCCAAAGCCGAUGACUUGUUGACAACUUGUGUGCAAAGUGACCCAGGAGAAGAAGAGAACAUAAAUAUGCCCUACAUCGUUAACUCCUUCCACAUUCCAGCGGAGGACCCCAAACCUGAUUUUACAGCCAGUCAUUCAGGUGAUGAAGAAGUAAUUUAUGGACACAAGGACAUCUUAACAGACUGCAAUGUAAAAAAUGUAGAUGUUGUUGUAGAAAGUUUAUCUCUGUGUCAGAGUGAAGGGGGAACAACUGAAUGUGGUGAACCUCAAAACAGUCUUAUUUCGGAAAAGACCAAGUCGAAGCAUCUUUCUACCAAACGGACACCAACAAAACCCUGCCUACAGGAAACCAAACUUGAAUUACCAAGGUAA
RNAcentral lists this long non-coding RNA (1506 nucleotides) under Betta splendens (Siamese fighting fish). Its description in RNAcentral is "lncRNA (ENSBSLG00000002368.1)". The record is from RNAcentral. Lineage: Eukaryota; Metazoa; Chordata; Actinopteri; Anabantiformes; Osphronemidae.